UGGGGAAUAUUGCACAAUGGGCGCAAGCCUGAUGCAGCCAUGCCGCGUGUGUGAAGAAGGCCUUCGGGUUGUAAAGCACUUUCAGCGGGGAGGAAGGCGAUAAGGUUAAUAACCUUGUCGAUUGACGUUACCCGCAGAAGAAGCACCGGCUAACUCCGUGCCAGCAGCCGCGGUAAUACUGAGGGUGCAAGCGUUAAUCGGAAUUACUGGGCGUAAAGCGCACGCAGGCGGUUGAUUGAGUCAGAUGUGAAAUCCCCGGGCUUAACCCGGGAAUUGCAUCUGAUACUGGUCAGCUAGAGUCUUGUAGAGGGGGGUAGAAUUCCAUGUGUAGCGGUGAAAUGCGUAGAGAUGUGGAGGAAUACCGGUGGCGAAGGCGGCCCCCUGGACAAAGACUGACGCUCAGGUGCGAAAGCGUGGGGAGCAAACAGG
Molecule: ribosomal RNA, 429 nt
Filed under: Chloroflexota bacterium
Lineage: Bacteria; Bacillati; Chloroflexota
Description: Chloroflexi bacterium partial 16S ribosomal RNA
Rfam family: Bacterial small subunit ribosomal RNA
Source: RNAcentral